UUCCUGAAAUACAUCCCAUACGUGAAAACCGAGCCCGAAUUAUGAUAUAGUAUUAAAAAUAAAUGGAAAACAAGAAAAAGCGGGCCGCGUAAGCUACCCGUUAAGUUCACGCGGGCCGCGUGGGAGCUAAAAGGUGGCGCAGCCCGGUGGGGCCACGUGGCCCAACACCCGGCAAGUCUAUGAGCUGACCCAGCCAAGCUACGCAUUGACCUGGGGUCAACGCGGGCCGCGUAGGCCCAGCCCUAAUGUUACGCGGGCCGCGAGGAAGACGGAUUUCAGCACUAUAUAAAGAGGCAUCAGGCCUUCAGUCUGCUUCGUUCAAAAUCGUUUCUUUCUCUCUCAAAAUUAAAUAGUGGGCAUUAUACUCGGGUCUAAUACCCCCCUAAUUAGCGAAGCUCUGCCUCGUUACUAUAACCAGGGAAUCACAAAGGAAAGCCCUAUAAUAGCAAUGUAACUUAGUGUGAAGCCAAUAAAAGCCAGCUGGAGAGC
RNAcentral lists this long non-coding RNA (489 nucleotides) under Helianthus annuus (common sunflower). RNAcentral's name for it is "hypothetical non coding rna". The record is from RNAcentral. Lineage: Eukaryota; Viridiplantae; Streptophyta; Magnoliopsida; Asterales; Asteraceae.